Molecule: long non-coding RNA, 261 nt
Filed under: Gallus gallus (chicken)
Lineage: Eukaryota; Metazoa; Chordata; Aves; Galliformes; Phasianidae
Source: RNAcentral
CCUGUUCUAAUCUGAGGAGGAGAUCGCAGAGGAAGUUGUAUCCUUGCCAUAUCCUAAAAUCAUCCAGUAGUGUUUGUGAUACAUCACUGGAAUCUUUGAGAAAACAGGAAAGCCCAGCAAACAUCUCAACUAUUUCAAGGGGAGAAAGGUCAUCAGACUGCUGCAUGUUCUGAACACACGUGGACAAACAUUCUUUUUCGUGAAUGUAUUUCACUACAUUGACACUAAGGCCGUGACGCGAUAUGGUCAUCAGUACUUCCC